This is an RNA transcript of Gallus gallus (chicken), 607 nucleotides long. RefSeq lists it as uncharacterized. The record is from RefSeq and is a predicted model, not a curated record. The transcript has 2 exons. Lineage: Eukaryota; Metazoa; Chordata; Aves; Galliformes; Phasianidae.
GGAGGCCCGGCGGGUGUGAUGGCGGGCGUGAUGGCGUCCGCCCGGCGUGGCCGCCGUUGCGCUUUGUGCCUUUCCGGCCUGGUCGUGUUGUGUGUGGGCGUUAAAGGCGCCCGAAGCGAUUUGGCAGUGAGUGUCGAUGUGCUGUUCUGCUGGGGAAACCGACUCCAGAAAUGCCAUCUGAGGGAACAGACGUCCUGGCAGAUAGAACAAACCAGGUGUGAGCACUGUCUUUCCAAAGUUACACCGAAGCCGUUGGAGGAAAGGUCGGACCUCAGGCCUUCCCGCGGCACCAACUACUGUCGGCGGAUUUGCGCACAGAUCCUUCACAGCUGUUUCAAAGAACCAUUCUGUGAUUCUAUGAUCUUCCAGGACCGUUCCAAGCCACACCAUCCUGUGGUUCUAUGAUCUUCCUGGACUCUUCCAACACAAACCAUUCUAUGGUUCUGUGAUCACUAAGGAACCUCCCAAGCCACGCCGUCCUGCAGUUCUAUGAUCUUCCAGGACCCUUCCAACACGGACCAUCCUAUGGUUCUAUGAUCUUCCAGGACCCUCCUGUGCGGGUGAUAUCACCAUGACGUGAUGACCUCACAGAUGCCCUGGGGUGGGG